GUCCCCAAGGAGGGGACCGACCUGGCCAAGAAGUCAGGCAGGUCUCCCUGGCAGAGGUGCAGGCGCCAGGUGCCGUCAGCUCAGGCCAGGAGGCGUGGAGCCCAUGUCUCUGCAUCCUGGGCACCCAGGCUGUGCCCGUCACCUGGCAGGGCAUCAGAAACAGGUCAUGAUGCUGGGUACUGGGCGGUGAGGCCGCCAGAGGCCUUGCUUAGAUCUUCUGAAAUUCCUUCUCUAGAAAUCAGCCUGCAUCAGGAACACAGGACAGCAGCACAGAACAGGGUAGCCCCUGAUGCCAGUGACGCGUGCCCCCCAGUGUCCUGUCACUCCCCUCUCUCUGUCCUAGAGAGACUCUAUGCUCUGGAUCUGGCCCCCACCGCUCGUCAACACCCUUCUUGCCAAGGCCACCAGCGUCCCCCUCGGCACCGCCUCCAAUGGACCUCUUUGCAACCCGUGGGGGCCGGUCCACGUCCUCUGUCUGGAACGCCACCUUUCCGUGGCCCUGGGAUACCACACUUCCACCUGCACCUCCCCUGCAAUCUCAGUUCUGGUCCCUCUUCCUCCGCCCGUUUCUUCCUGCUGUUUCCCAGGGUUCGCACCCAGAUCUUGAUUCUCAGUUCACAUACCCUCCCCAACUGGGGUUGCGUUUACACACUGACACGGCGAGCCUCUCUCCGGCUCAGAUGGCUCUCUCCAGCUCCCGCUCACCUGUCUUCCUAUAGUCACCUCACUCGUAAACGGGACAGUGUCUACCCAGAUGCUCAAGCCCAGGCACGACCUUUACCUCCCUUCUCCUCGUUCGCUCUCCUAGAGAUCGGGUCACAGUCAGAUCCAGGCACACCAGAAAAGAGACACAGAGAAGUCAGAAGAGAAGUACGUGGAAAGGGAAAGAAAGAAAGAAAAAGCCCAGCGCGAGAAUGCAUCUCUCUAGACAAGGACAGACUCGCAGAAGGUGACCUAACAGCUCACCACACACAUCAGAAAGCAAGUGGAGUUCAAGUCUCAUCACGCCAAAAUGAGAUACGGAUUAAACAGGAAGAUUUAAAACCAGUACGUUCUGACACUGAGUGA
Molecule: long non-coding RNA, 1068 nt
Filed under: Felis catus (domestic cat)
Lineage: Eukaryota; Metazoa; Chordata; Mammalia; Carnivora; Felidae
Description: lncRNA (ENSFCAG00000049913.1)
Source: RNAcentral